GGGCAAGUAACUCAGUAGGUAAGAGUAUGUGCCUGAUAAGCGCAAAGUCAGGGGUUCAAGUCCCUUCUUGCCCA
RNAcentral lists this transfer RNA (74 nucleotides) under Coccomyxa sp. Obi. It matches the Rfam family "tRNA". From Rfam's summary of the family: Transfer RNA (tRNA) molecules are approximately 80 nucleotides in length. Lineage: Eukaryota; Viridiplantae; Chlorophyta; Trebouxiophyceae; Coccomyxaceae. RNAcentral also lists the same sequence under 2 other names. The record is from Rfam by way of RNAcentral.